GUGUUUAUAGUUUAGUGGGUAAAGCUCUUAAUUUUAAACUUGGUGGUUAAGGGUUCAAACCUUAUUUAAGACA
This 73-nucleotide transfer RNA is filed under the name Ipomoea nil (Japanese morning glory). It matches the Rfam family "tRNA". From Rfam's summary of the family: Transfer RNA (tRNA) molecules are approximately 80 nucleotides in length. Their secondary structure includes four short double-helical elements and three loops (D, anti-codon, and T loops). Lineage: Eukaryota; Viridiplantae; Streptophyta; Magnoliopsida; Solanales; Convolvulaceae. The record is from Rfam by way of RNAcentral.